This 168-nucleotide small nuclear RNA is filed under the name Anaeromyces robustus. RNAcentral describes it as "U12 minor spliceosomal RNA". It matches the Rfam family "U12 minor spliceosomal RNA". From Rfam's summary of the family: Although the U12 sequence is very divergent from that of U2, the two are functionally analogous. Lineage: Eukaryota; Fungi; Neocallimastigomycota; Neocallimastigomycetes; Neocallimastigales; Neocallimastigaceae. The record is from Rfam by way of RNAcentral.
UUGCCUCAAAUUAAUGAGUAAGGAUAAUAACUUCAUUGGGUGAUACCAAUGACAAAAAAAAAAGUUUAAAAAACUUUUUUUUUUAAAAAUAUUUAAAAUUUUUGAAGGGUUCAUAGGCUGACCUAGUUGAGCGGGAUGCUUUAUUCUCUUCAUAAGGCGACCUGCUCU